Schistocerca americana (American grasshopper) is the source of this 247-nucleotide long non-coding RNA. RefSeq lists it as uncharacterized. The transcript has 3 exons. Lineage: Eukaryota; Metazoa; Arthropoda; Insecta; Orthoptera; Acrididae. The record is from RefSeq and is a predicted model, not a curated record.
AGCAGAAAUUACAAUCAUAAAUAAAGAAAAAACCAAACAUUAUUUCGAAAUCGAGUAGAAGCAGCAAUUUUGCAGUGUUACAAUUUGUUCGGCCUCAGGACGGUGUCAGCGAUUAGUAUAUUGUUACGAUGCUACGGUGCUUAGAACUGCAGUCACAUGGAGUGGAUCAAGAAACAAGAAAUGCACGAGAUACCUGUUGUGCCAAGACUCCAUGAGGACCAGUACAUGAGCCAUGUCAGAAGAGGGG